AUCCCACGAUGAGGACACGAAGUAACUCCUUGAAUCGCUCCCAAGCCUCAUACAAAGACUCGUUAUCCAAUUUUUAGAAAGUUGUUAUCUCAUUCCUCAACUU
This 103-nucleotide small nucleolar RNA is filed under the name Gossypium hirsutum (cotton). RNAcentral describes it as "Plant small nucleolar RNA R71". It matches the Rfam family "Plant small nucleolar RNA R71". From Rfam's summary of the family: R71 is a member of the C/D box family of snoRNAs containing the C (UGAUGA) and D (CUGA) box motifs. Lineage: Eukaryota; Viridiplantae; Streptophyta; Magnoliopsida; Malvales; Malvaceae. The record is from Rfam by way of RNAcentral.